AAAAGCUGGAGGAGAGCCCCAGGCAGAUAUCACUGGUCCUGGUCUAGCUCAGGGUUCAGUUUCAGCCUCAGAAGGAGGGGACAGAGCUGCAGAGAUGCACAGACUGAAGAAUCCAAAAUGGGCACUGGCUGUGAAUGUCUCCUUCCCAGCUGGAGACAGAGGUGGAUCCCAGGCACACAGGAGUAAAAACACAAGGGCCCACAGGUCCUCUGCCUUUGGGAGCCCCCAGAGACCCCCCAGGAGCCUGCAGGGAGAGUACGAAAGAGAAGCAGCACAGCCAGGCCACAUCCAACACUGCCAAGAGAUGCAGAUGGUGGCAAUGCAGGUUCUUCUUCUGCAAACCCCCCUCCACUAAGGCGCCCAUCACAGGGCUCAGUUACUGUGGCUAGGAUGCCAACCAAGAGACGCCGUCUUGAGGCUGAAUCACCAGCACCAUCAUCACCACCCCAACGGCGCAUCUCCGCAGUGUCAGCCCUGCCACCACAAGCUAUUUUGGCCAGCCCACAAAGUGAGGAUCCACAAUCCCCUCAGUUGUCUGAACCAGCCAUCAUGCCCGAGGAUGCCCAGCAGGAACGUGACCAGCAGGAUACCUACACACUACACCUGCAGCCCAUCGAUCCUACACAGCCAACCACGCCGCAGGACAUACCCCAACCACCCCAAACAUUCCACAGCCCCCAAUUGAGCACAACACCACCCCAGACACAAAUGGGCCCUGAGUUUUAGAGCCGUUGGGCCACACAACAGGAGCAAAACUAUUCGUGCCUCAACACCCACAGCCAAUACCUGGCAAGUCUGCCCCAUCAUCUGCCUAGACUGAGUCGAAACUCAGGCAGAUUUUAAGUUCAGGUGGGCAGAAUUGCCAAUUCAAUGGAGCAGUCGAGGGCAGACAACUGCCAAAUGCAAGCCAAUCUCCAACGCAUCAUGGAUGAACAACAGCGGCAGCAACAAUCCCUUUAUUCAGAUAAUCCAACACAACCAAAUUGUAAACGACAACCUGUCCAGAAUAAUAGCAAGCAACACUGCCGCUAAUACGCAACUCACUGCAAGCCUCAAUAUACUAAGUCAAAGCCUUAAUGUGUUGGCAUCACACCAAGUCAGCUCUAGCUCGGGGACAACUACACCAAGCCAGACCCCAGUUCACUCCCCAGUUAGACGCUCCAGUAGAACCCGGACCAACGAGCCAGCGCAAUCCUCGGCACCCAGCACACACCAAAAAAAAUAAAUAAUCAGGCCUGCAGCUAAUAGUUUGUUUAUUUAAAAAUUAUGUUGAUUUGUUACAGCAAAAAUGCCUGUGUUCAAGGUAAUAAAUUGUUCACACGGAA
Molecule: long non-coding RNA, 1325 nt
Organism: Pseudophryne corroboree (corroboree frog)
Lineage: Eukaryota; Metazoa; Chordata; Amphibia; Anura; Myobatrachidae
Exons: 4
Source: RefSeq, a predicted model, not a curated record